Molecule: long non-coding RNA, 4732 nt
Organism: Lotus japonicus
Lineage: Eukaryota; Viridiplantae; Streptophyta; Magnoliopsida; Fabales; Fabaceae
Exons: 4
Source: RefSeq, a predicted model, not a curated record
CUUCCAGCACUUUCUCCCUUUUAUGUCUUCCGUUUUCCUUUGACUUUGUAACCCUUCAGUGGCUAGAUGGAAAUGGAAUGAAGCGUUUGCCUUGCGUUUGCGUUUUUUCUUCAGCUUCCAGACCUAUCAAGUUCUCAGCAGGUGCACUUCUAUUUAACUGUUUGCGUUUUGCGAAUACUAGGAGACGAUAAUGUGCGGCCACAAAAGGGCUCCCAUGAAGUCCUCAGCAGAUUUUCUGCUUCACUAUUCUGUGGUAAGGUUUCUUCUCGAAUUUUCUGUGGGGAUCGAAUGCGACAUCGUCGGCGCACCUGGCGACUGAGUUGAAGCAGCGACCAACUGACAUGAAGGUUUCACCAAUUCUUUUGGUGGGAUGUGGUUGCAACUCAUAAUGCUUAUUCUCAAAAGAAGCACGAGCAGCAACAAAAGAAAAAGCAAAAAGGUUGGCUGAAGCUUGGCUUUGAGUAAAGAACUCUUGAAAGCUACCACUUGCAUGCUUUGUUUCCCUCUUUUUAAUGUGUAUGUCUUUUGUUAGAUUUUUUCCUCUUUACGACUGUGUUUUUUCUCUAAUAUAGCAACUGAGUUUUUUUCUCGAAUAUACUAUUUAACACGGCUUUCUAUAUGCCUGAAGCUCUUAAUAUCCAUUGUCAACUCUAUCUUCAAGUCAGUAUAAGUAAAGCUAUCUAUAUUGGGUAAUGUCCAAGUUUUUGCAUUGUUUUUCUAGGUUACUCUCAUCUGUGUUGGUUGAGUGAGAAUGAAUAGUUAUAAACUCACUUGAAAACCAUUAAAGCAUAAUAUAUGACUAUAUUGUUGAUGGGUUGAAAUUGGUUUGCCUUCCCAGUUUUAAAAAAUUGUUUCUGUGAUUAGAAAUUAGGUUGUUUUGGCAGAUGAGUAGUUUUGUUUUUUUGUGAUUGUAAUAGAGGUUUUGAGGGGAAAUGAAAGGAUGCUAGGCAAUUCCAUUAGACAAAUUAAAAGGGGGAGACAAGGCUUGCAGAAUCAAGAAAAGAAGUUGAUUGUAGAGAUAAAAAAGAAUGCAAACAAGGACAGAUGAUGUCAUACCAUUUAUUUGAUUAUUUCUAUUUCAUUAUUAGUAGCCAUUCUUAAGUAAGUAAAGAGGGCCUCUCACAGAGUUUGAAGGGCAGUGAGUGUGGCAAAAUGAGUUUUAUAUUCGGCAGUUGAAAGACUCCCAUAGGUACUUCUCUUUUAGAGUGUUUGCCAAUUUUUAUUUUAUGGAUUUGUUGUCUUUGUGAUUGGGUUUGAUUGAAUGGAGGGGGAAGAUAAUGGGUUGAAAUUGGUUUGCCUUCCCAGUUUUAAAAAAUUGUGUCUUUGAUUAGGAAUUUGUUUGUUAUUAUUGAUUGGUAGUUUUUUUGGUGUGAUUGUGAAAGAUCUUUUGAGGGAAAGUGAAAGGAUGCUUGACAUUCCCGUUAGAGAAAUUGGAAGGGAAAGACAAGGCUUUCAGUUACAAAAAUUGUAUUGAUAAUUAAUCAUUGUGACUUUAUUUUGAGCACUAUAUUUAACCACAUAAACAGGAGUCCCUUUUAAUUAAUAAAAUACAGGUUUCAUAGUUAAAAAAAUCAAUGGUCAUGAGUUAUUAUGCAUUAAGGAGUAUUAAGUGUGUUUAAGGGCUAUCAUUAUAUGUUAUGAAACCACUAAACAUUAACUUUAUGUCUAUUUAGUAUUUUUAAUUGAGGUGUUAUGUAUUGGUCAUGAAUUACUCUUUAAUAAAUGGAGAACCAUCUCAUGUUGCAUGGGUAAGAUGUGUGACAAAGCAACAGAAUUCCUCAUUUUUUAUCACAGGAUAGGUAACUUAGCUAUUUUUCAGAGAUACAUUUUUUUUAAAGAAUUUUUUCAGAGAUACAUGCCCUGUUUGAGAUUGAGAUUUGGAAUAUUUGAAGGUGUAAUGUAGAGUGACCUGGAGAAAGAGAGCGAGAGAUCUGAAUCGAUGAGCGGUGACUGAGGUCCUUCUUUUUGGUCUUCUUCUAACUUUCGGUGAACUUCUUUUCAGUUUUUUGUACAAACAAUUAACCUCAGCAUCUCAUCACUUUUAACAUAAUUGUAAGCCUCUCUUUCGAAUUGGUGGUCGGGCAUAAACAAGAAAGAAAAGAAAAACUGAAAUUGGAAUUUUUUUCCUGAUGAUUUUCUUCUAAUUGAUCCAGGCGGGACUAAUUGCAGGCAACAUAGCAUUUAUGUGUAAGUGUAAAUUCAGGUUCCCUCUGACACGAUUGUCCUGCACGAUGCUGGGACAAGAGGUUCGACAACUGCUUAACAGUGAAACAAAACUUAACAACAGAAACAAUAACACACAGUAAUUGUUAACCCAGUUCAGUGAAAACUUUCACCUACGUCUGGAGGGUUUGCACCCAAAGAAAGGAAAUCCACUAUCUCAAGAUUCAGGAAUUACAGACACUCAUGAACACCUCAGUUCAUAGUUCACUUCCUAAUCUACCCAGUGUAUUUCUACUUAGAAUCUCAACCUAAGUAUGAGAGCCCCUCUCACUUCCUCUCAAUCACUGCCACAGUGAUUGGUAAACACAAUGAACAAUCAGAGUUUGAAUGUAAUCAAACAACACAGAACCCUUCUUUGCUUUAUAGAAUCAGUGAGCAAAGAGGAUUCACAAAUAACAAGAACGAAGCACAAUAACAAAUCCUAAAACACUGGAUCUCUCUCUAUCAGCUUCGGUCAUCUUCACGUUUUAGGUCUUCAUCCUUUUAUAGACUUCAGCAGCGGUAGCAUGGGCUUUAGGGUUGGCACGGGCUGAAGAAACAGAUAUCAGUAACAGCAAUUCAAAAACACAAUCUUGAUAGAUUCGGUUUCUUAUUGCACAAGUAACGAUAGAAACCAAUCUUUUAGCAAAUAUUGUUUCAACAAAUAACAACCCCACAAUUAAAACCCUUCUGGAUAGCUACUUGCUCCUCAAGUAACUCAAAAACAUAUCUUCAGUAAAUCUUCAGAGGGCCCACAACAUAAACACAAGCUGAGGACUGAUGCCCUAGCUUCACGAGGUCAGAUGCCACGGCAUCUGCUUCGACAAUCGGUUGUUUUGACAAAAUGCAUGGCGACAUGUUCCAACAGUAAGCUAUUUGGGAGAUUCAACCGUGCUUUUGGAUUUAUCAUUGAUUUUGGCAUGCUGUAUUACAUGUUUGCACUGGGCAUACAAAUGGAUCAUUUUGUUCUUUUCGUGCAACCACACAAGCAUGCUAAACUUGCUUAUGCACGAGAUAUUUCAACUUUCCUCCUAGCAAUUAUCUUAACCUCAAUGGGGAAAACAAGCUUCUAUAAUUCACCUUCUCCCUCUCAGCUCUUCUUCUAGCACAAACUCCCCAGUCCUGACCCGUUUGAUAACUCACCACAACGAUGGAAAAUUAGAUAUUAGAAGAGUUCUUUUAUUAGUUUACUGAUUUUGUUGUCCUUAUCAUGAUUGUUCUGUUUUCUGCUUUGCAUGUAUUGUUUUCUUCAUUUCUUCUUCUUAAAAUGGUUGUUCUGUUUCUUUGUUUCCUCUUAUUUGUUAUGUUUUGGGGUUUGGGUUAUAGUGGUUAAUCUUACUAUGUCUUCACUUUAUCAUGUAUAAUGCAGGUCAAUAUGAGCAUGCCUGCAUUUCGUGUAACCGACUACCUUGGGGCUUUUCGGGUGAAGUUUGAAUGGAUACAUGUUUGUUUCUUUUUGCUCUAUUAAGCCAAUCUAAUCCAAAUUAAAUCUGGGAACAUAAAUUGAGGCCCUUGAAGGUAAGGACUUUAGAAAGUUGUCAUGGUUUGUGGUUUAUUUUGUAAACAGUGGCAUACUUAAUUGUAUAGGGUGCCUAGAGAAAUGGAAAAACCAUAUUUUUUGAAUAGGCUACUAAUUUGGAGAGGUGAAUUGUUUUUUUCUGAAAUUCCUACUUGCAGACAUGUGAAUACAACAUGUUUCUUUUACCCGUGUUUUAUCGAUUCUCCCUGAUGUGACUUUGAGUCUUCCUUCAACUUUUGCUGUUAUAUUUUAGGGUUAACUUUUGUUGUCAUUAUUUAUUCAGUGUAUGCUGCUUUUUUAUCAUUCAUAUUGCCUUUAUUAAGAGCUCUAACUCUCUAAUUCUAUUUCUCCCCAUGUGGAUAUCCUAUGUGUCAUUUUUCUCAUUAUUUGACCUUCCUUUUGACCAUUCACAUGGUCAGAGAUCAAAUAGAAUAGAGUCUUUGAACCAAGAUGGCUUCUAUGACGGUUAUCAGUAAUUGUUAUCUCAUAGCUUCUCUGAUUAAUAGGUUGCUAAUUUGGAAAGGUUAACUUCUUAACCGCUUUAUCAAUCUCUUAUGGUCAGUUGGGUCUAUUGAUUCCGUUCCAAAAACAUGCUUCUUUGACAGUGUUGUUGUGCAAGUGUAUAAUUACAUCUCUCCUUUUAAAAUUACUCUGUUUACAAGCCGAGGGUGCUGCUAAAAGGACUGAGGAGGCUGGGUUUGUUGUUGUUGCCCAUGUUCCUGAGCUUCCAAUGCCAGAAAUCUUGCAUGGAUUGCAAGUGCAACAAACUUCACAAAGCUGUGAAGUGUAUCUAGAUAUAGAAAGAAUAUAUAAAGUGUAUCAAGUUUUCACGUUUUUUCAACUUUCUUUCUUUCUAUGUUUCUUUCUUUUGUGGGCUUAGGAUUCUGAGUUCCCAUUUGUACUGUCAAUGGAUGAUAUUUUCGAUUUUGAAGGGCAUUAUGACACCAGCUAUGAUGUAUUGGAAUUGAAACUUAGUGGAAUUUUGAAAUGGUGUAGAGCGAUGAAAUAAAA